This 253-nucleotide ribosomal RNA is filed under the name uncultured bacterium. Its description in RNAcentral is "partial 16S ribosomal RNA". It matches the Rfam family "Bacterial small subunit ribosomal RNA", at positions 524 to 776 of the family's 1533-position model. The record is from RNAcentral.
GACAGAGGUGGCGAGCGUUGUUCGGAAUUACUGGGCUUAAAGGGCGAGUAGGCGGUGGAGCAAGUCUGAGGUGGAAUCCUACGGCUUAACCGUAGAACUGCCUUGGAAACUGUUUUACUUGAGUCAGUGAGGGGAGGGCGGAAUUCCUGGUGUAGCGGUGAAAUGCGUAGAUAUCAGGAGGAACACCGGCGGCGAAGGCGGCUUCCUGGACCAAUACUGACGCUGAGACGCGAAAGCGUGGGGAGCAAACAGG